This 316-nucleotide long non-coding RNA is filed under the name Nicotiana benthamiana. RNAcentral describes it as "long non-coding RNA (NBEN_LNC019290)". The record is from RNAcentral. Lineage: Eukaryota; Viridiplantae; Streptophyta; Magnoliopsida; Solanales; Solanaceae.
UUUCGGGAUGGACAGUAUCUUACACUGAAGGAAGUUUUUGAAAGUUUAGACUUGACAGGGUUUGCGUCAAAAGAGAAAAACAGAAGUAGUUGGAUAUAAAAAUAUACUUUAACUGCACGCAUGCAUAUGUAAUAUCUGCUUCUUUCUGUAUAUGAGCAUAUAUUGUCCUUCUUCGAUGUGAUUUUGGUACUUAUAAGAUAUGUUCUUUAUUUUCAAAAUAUUGUCUUAUGUAGGGCGCUUCUUGAGUUGUAAUUCUGUAUUCAAGAACCACUGUUUGGGACAGCAUUUAGCAACAGCUUUCUGCAUUGUAUGCUCA